Molecule: ribosomal RNA, 500 nt
Filed under: uncultured Actinomycetes bacterium
Lineage: Bacteria; Bacillati; Actinomycetota; Actinomycetes
Description: bacterial SSU rRNA
Rfam family: Bacterial small subunit ribosomal RNA
Source: RNAcentral
ACCUACAAGGUUCGCAGUUCCUUCGGGAGGCAGCAGUGGGGAAUUUUUCGCAAUGGGCGAAAGCCUGACGGAGUGACGCCGCGUGGGGGACGAAGGCCUUCGGGUCGUAAACCCCUGUCAGAGGGAAAGAAGGGUGUUGGCGUGAAUAGAGCCGGCAUUUGACGGUACCUUCAGAGGAAGCCCCGGCCAAUUCUGUGCCAGCAGCCGCGGUAAUACAGAGGGGGCAAGCGUUGUUCGGAAUUAUUGGGCGUAAAGGGCGUGUAGGCGGGAUGGCAAGUCGGUCGUGAAAUCCUUGGGCUCAACCGAGGAACGUCGGCCGAUACUGCCGUUCUUGAGUCAUGCAGAGGAGAUUGGAAUUCCCGGUGUAGCGGUGAAAUGUGUAGAUAUCGGGAGGAACACCGGUGGCGAAGGCGGGUUUCUGGGCAUUUCCUGACGCUGAGACGCGAAAGCGUGGGGAGCAAACGGGAUUAGAUACCCCGGUAUUCCCCCCUGUAAACGAU